UACGUAGGGGGCUAGCGUUGUCCGGAAUCAUUGGGCGUAAAGCGCGUGUAGGCGGUCCGGUAAGUCCGCUGUGAAAGUCGGGGGCUCAACCCUCGGAUGCCGGUGGAUACUGUCGGGCUUGAGUACGGAAGAGGCUAAUGGAAUUCCGGGUGUAGCGGUGGAAUGCGUAGAGAUCCGGAAGAACACCGGUGGCGAAGGCGGCCACCUGGACGGUAACUGACGCUGAGACGCGAAAGCGUGGGGAGCAAACAGG
Molecule: ribosomal RNA, 253 nt
Filed under: uncultured bacterium
Lineage: Bacteria
Description: partial 16S ribosomal RNA
Rfam family: Bacterial small subunit ribosomal RNA
Source: RNAcentral